RNAcentral lists this ribosomal RNA (497 nucleotides) under uncultured bacterium. Its description in RNAcentral is "partial 16S ribosomal RNA". It matches the Rfam family "Bacterial small subunit ribosomal RNA", at positions 28 to 507 of the family's 1533-position model. The record is from RNAcentral.
GAUGAACGCUGGCGGCGUGCUUAAUACAUGCAAGUCGAGCGAACAGACGCGGAGCUUGCUCCUCUCACGUUAGCCGCGGACGGGUGAGUCACACGUGGAUACCCUACCUAUAAUACUGGGAUAACUUCGGAAAACCGGAGCUAAUACCGGAUAAUAUAUUGAACCGCAUGGUUGAAUGGUGAAAGACGGUUUUGCUGUCACUUCUAGAUGGUUCCGCGCCGCUUGAGCUAGUUGGUAAGGUAACGGGUUACCAAGGCAACGAUGCGUAGACGACCUGAGAGGGUGGUCGGCCACAUGGGAGCUUGGCCGCGCUCCAGAGGCCUGCGGGAGGCAGCAGUAGGGAACCGGCCGCAAUGGGGGAAAGCCUGACGGAGCGACGCGGCGUGAGUGAUAAAGGUCUUCGGAGCGUAAUACUCUGUUAUGAGGGAAGAACAAAUGUGGAAGUAACUAUGCACGUCUUGACGGUACCUAAUCAGAAAGCAACGGCUAACUACGUG